RNAcentral lists this ribosomal RNA (449 nucleotides) under uncultured bacterium. RNAcentral's name for it is "partial 16S ribosomal RNA". It matches the Rfam family "Bacterial small subunit ribosomal RNA", at positions 29 to 523 of the family's 1533-position model. The record is from RNAcentral.
AAUGAACGCUGGCGGCAGGCCUAACACAUACAAGUCGAACGGAUCCUUCGGGAUUUGUGGCGGACGGGUGAGUAACGCGUGGGAACAUACCCUUAGGUACGGAAUAGCCUCGGGAAACUGGGAGUAAUACCGUAUGUGGUCGAGAGACGAAAGACUUAUCGCCAAAGGAUUGGCCCGCGUUGGAUUAGGUAGUUGGUGGGGUAAUGGCCUACCAAGCCGACGAUCCAUAGCUGGUUUGAGAGGAUGAUCAGCCACACUGGGACUGAGACACGGCCCAGACUCCUACGGGAGGCAGCAGUGGGGAAUCUUAGACAAUGGGGGAAACCCUGAUCUAGCCAUGCCGCGUGAUCGAUGAAGGCCUUAGGGUUGUAAGGAUCUUUCAGGUGGGAAGAUAAUGACUGUACCACCAGAAGAAGCCCCGGCUAACUCCGUGCCAGCAGCCGCCGUAA